This is a long non-coding RNA of Monodelphis domestica (gray short-tailed opossum), 624 nucleotides long. RefSeq lists it as uncharacterized. NCBI's taxonomy places the organism in Eukaryota, Metazoa, Chordata, Mammalia, Didelphimorphia, Didelphidae. The record is from RefSeq and is a predicted model, not a curated record.
GCUACAAAGAGGUAAGAAGAAUUGAUAAAGACCAUUAGAUUUAUCAAUUAAGUCAUUAUUAACUACUUUGUAGAGAGCAAUUUGUGUUGAAUAAUGAGAUAAAAAUCCAAAAUGCUGAGACUUAAAAAGAUAGCUAAUAAUAUCUAACAUCUAUAUAGCACUUACUUUAUGCCAGACACCAUGCUAAGCACCUUAUAAUUAUUUUCUUAUUUGCUCCUCUUAUCAACUCUCAGAAGCAGAUGUUGUCACUCUCAUUCUAAACAGGAGGAAACUGAGGCAAAAAGAAGUCACAUGAAUUGCCCAGAGUCACAUAUCUAUAAGGAUCUGAGGCCAGAUUUGGACUUAUGUCUUCCUUACUCAAGGCUGGACCUUCUUUCUAUCCACUGGCCCACAUAUCCAAGGAAAUGAAAUGAAGUAGAGGUUAAAAAGAGAAGGCUGAGUUGAAUGAUUUGUUCAAAAAGACAUUCUAAAUAAAGGAGCAGUGACUAGAAUCUUUUCCUUCUAUGUAAAAUGUCAAUGAUGCUUCAAAAACUGUGAACUGAUAUUCUGGUAUGCCUUCACUUUAGAGGUAUGAAUUUUCCUCAAUCAAAUUUUCCUUAGUCUUAAUAAAACUUCUCUUUCAAA